Capsicum annuum is the source of this 123-nucleotide long non-coding RNA. RefSeq lists it as uncharacterized. NCBI's taxonomy places the organism in Eukaryota, Viridiplantae, Streptophyta, Magnoliopsida, Solanales, Solanaceae. The record is from RefSeq and is a predicted model, not a curated record. The transcript is spliced from 2 exons.
GAGGAUCUUGGCAUGAUAAUACAUAUGAAUCCAUCUUAUGGAGAUUAUAAGUACAAAUGAAAUAUCUCAACAAGAGAGUUCCUUCAAUUAGAGGAUGCAAAGUACUUUAGUUUGUAUUAAUUA